RNAcentral lists this ribosomal RNA (467 nucleotides) under uncultured bacterium. RNAcentral describes it as "partial 16S ribosomal RNA". It matches the Rfam family "Bacterial small subunit ribosomal RNA", at positions 28 to 507 of the family's 1533-position model. The record is from RNAcentral.
GACGAACGCUGGCGGCGUGCUUAACACAUGCAAGUCGAACGGAAAAGCCUCUUUCGGGGGGUACCCGUGUCGCGCACGGGUGAAUCACGCGUGAGUCACCUGUUCUUGACUUUGGAAUAACUUCAGGCAACUGCUGCUACUACCGGAUCGGAGCUCCUGCUGCAUGGAUGGGGUUGGAAAGGUUCGGCGGUCGGGGAAGGACUCGCGGCUGAUCAUCUCGUUGGUGGGGUAGUGGCUUACCCAGGCUUGGACGGGUAGCCGGCCGGAGAGGGUGACCGGCCACAUUGGGACGGAGAUACAGCCCAGACACCUACGGGAGGCAGCAGUGGGGAGUAUAGCACAAGGGGUGGAAGCCUGAUGCAGCAACGCCGUGUGCGGGAUGACGGCCUGCGGGUUGUAAGCCGCUUUCGCUCAUGACGAAGCAUUGUAUGACGGUAGUUGGUAAAGAAGCACCGGCUAACUACGUG